RNAcentral lists this ribosomal RNA (434 nucleotides) under uncultured bacterium. RNAcentral's name for it is "bacterial SSU rRNA". It matches the Rfam family "Bacterial small subunit ribosomal RNA", at positions 958 to 1392 of the family's 1533-position model. The record is from RNAcentral.
AACGCGAAGAACCUUACCUGCCCUUGACGUCCGGAUGACCGGCAAGUAAUGUUGCCCUCUCUUCGGAGCAUCCGAGACAGGUGGUGCAUGGUUGUCGUCAGCUCGUGUCGUGAGAUGUUGGGUUAAGUCCCGCAACGAGCGCAACCCUUAUCUUCAGUAGCCAGCGGUAAGGCCGGGCACUCUGGAGAGACUGCCAGGGAUAACCUGGAGGAAGGUGGGGAUGACGUCAAAUCAUCAUGCCCCUUAUGGGCAGGGCUACACACGUGCUACAAUGGCGUAAACAAAGGGAGGCAAUCGCGCGAGCGUGAGCAAAUCUCAAAAAUAACGUCUCAGUUCGGAUUGUAGUCUGCAACUCGACUACAUGAAGCUGGAAUCGCUAGUAAUCGCGAAUCAGAAUGUCGCGGUGAAUACGUUCCCGGGUCUUGUACACACCG